UACGUAGGGUGCGAGCGUUAAUCGGAAUUACUGGGCGUAAAGCGUGCGCAGGCGGUUUGUUAAGACAGAUGUGAAAUCCCCGGGCUUAACCUGGGAAUGGCGUUUGUAACUGGCAAGCUAGAGUGUGUCAGAGGGAGGUAGAAUUCCACGUGUAGCAGUGAAAUGCGUAGAGAUGUGGAGGAAUACCGAUGGCGAAGGCGGCAUCCUGGACCGACAUUGACGCUGAACGGCGAAAGCUAGGGGAGCAAACGGG
This 253-nucleotide ribosomal RNA is filed under the name uncultured bacterium. RNAcentral describes it as "partial 16S ribosomal RNA". It matches the Rfam family "Bacterial small subunit ribosomal RNA", at positions 524 to 776 of the family's 1533-position model. The record is from RNAcentral.